GAUGAACGCUGGCGGCGUGCCUAAUACAUGCAAGUCGAGCGAACGGACGAGAAGCUUGCUUCUCUGAUGUUAGCGGCGGACGGGUGAGUAACACGUGGAUAACCUACCUGUAAGACUGGGAUAACUUCGGGAAACCGGAGCUAAUACCGGAUGAUAUUUUGAACCGCAUGGUUCAAAAGUGAAAGACGGUCUUGCUGUCACUUAUAGAUGGAUCCGCGCUGCAUUAGCUAGUUGGUAAGGUAACGGCUUACCAAGGCAACGAUGCAUAGCCGACCUGAGAGGGUGAUCGGCCACACUGGAACUGAGACACGGUCCAGACUCCUACGGGAGGCAGCAGUAGGGAAUCUUCCGCAAUGGGCGAAAGCCUGACGGAGCAACGCCGCGUGAGUGAUGAAGGUCUUCGGAUCGUAAAACUCUGUUAUUAGGGAAGAACAGAUGUGUAAGUAACUGUGCACAUCUUGACGGUACCUAAUCAGAAAGCCACGGCUAACUACGUG
Molecule: ribosomal RNA, 497 nt
Filed under: uncultured bacterium
Lineage: Bacteria
Description: partial 16S ribosomal RNA
Rfam family: Bacterial small subunit ribosomal RNA
Source: RNAcentral